AGUGAACGCUGGCGGUAGGCCUAACACAUGCAAGUCGAACGGCAGCACAGUAAGAGCUUGCUCUUACGGGUGGCGAGUGGCGGACGGGUGAGGAAUACAUCGGAAUCUACUUUUUCGUGGGGGAUAACGUAGGGAAACUUACGCUAAUACCGCAUACGACCUACGGGUGAAAGCAGGGGAUCUUCGUACCUUGCGCGAUUGAAUGAGCCGAUGUCGGAUUAGCUAGUUGGCGGGGUAAAGGCCCACCAAGGCGACGAUCCGUAGCUGGUCUGAGAGGAUGAUCAGCUACACUGGAACUGAGACACGGUCCAGACUCCUACGGGAGGCAGCAGUAGGGAAUAUUGGACAAUGGGCGCAAGCCUGAUCCAGCCAUACCGCGUGGGUGAAGAAGGCCUUCGGGUUGUAAAGCCCUUUUGUUGGGAAAGAAAAGCAGCAGGUUAAUACCCCGCUGUUCUGACGGUACCCAAAGAAUAAGCACCGGCUAACUUCGUG
This 492-nucleotide ribosomal RNA is filed under the name uncultured bacterium. Its description in RNAcentral is "partial 16S ribosomal RNA". It matches the Rfam family "Bacterial small subunit ribosomal RNA", at positions 29 to 507 of the family's 1533-position model. The record is from RNAcentral.